AUACGUAGGGGGCGAGCGUUGUCCGGAAUGAUUGGGCGUAAAGGGCGCGUAGGCGGCCCGGUAAGUCUGGAGUGAAAGUCCUGUUUUUAAGAUGGGAAUUGCUUUGGAUACUGUCGGGCUUGAGUGCAGGAGAGGUAAGUGGAAUUCCCAGUGUAGCGGUGAAAUGCGUAGAGAUUGGGAGGAACACCAGUGGCGAAGGCGACUUACUGGACUGUAACUGACGCUGAGGCGCGAAAGUGUGGGGAGCAAACAGGAUUAGAUACCCUGGUAGUCCACACUGUAGACGAUGAAUGCUAGGUGUAGGGGGUAUCGACCCCUUCUGUGCCGCAGUCAACACAAUAAGCAUUCCGCCUGGGGAGUACGGCCGCAAGGUUGAAACUCAAAGGAAUUGGCGGG
RNAcentral lists this ribosomal RNA (396 nucleotides) under uncultured bacterium. Its description in RNAcentral is "partial 16S ribosomal RNA". It matches the Rfam family "Bacterial small subunit ribosomal RNA", at positions 523 to 917 of the family's 1533-position model. The record is from RNAcentral.